Molecule: ribosomal RNA, 1284 nt
Filed under: Pleurastrum insigne
Lineage: Eukaryota; Viridiplantae; Chlorophyta; Chlorophyceae; Chlamydomonadales; Pleurastraceae
Description: bacterial SSU rRNA
Rfam family: Eukaryotic small subunit ribosomal RNA (bases 1-318)
Source: RNAcentral
CAACGAGCGUUUUUCCUUGCCCGAUGAGGGUUGGGCUCCUGAAACUCCGUCGUGAUGGGGAUAGAUCAUUGCAAUUAUUGAUCUUGAACGAGGAAUUCCUAGUAGGCGCGAGUCAUCAACUCGCGCCGAUUACGUCCCUGCCCUUUGUACACACCGCCCGUCGCUCCUACCGAUUGAACGGUCCGGCGAGAACUCCGGAUGGUCGGCACGCAGGGGUCAAACCCUGUGUCCGUGCCAGAAGCUGUUCGAACCUUACCGUUUAGAGGAAGGAGAAGUCGUAACAAGGUAUCCGUAGGUGAACCUGCGGAUGGAUCAUUUGAAGAACGUCGUCCAUCGGUCGUGACCUACCUCUCCUCCGGGAGGGGCAGAGCACGCUCCGACACCUGAUAGCGAACGGUCGAAGUCCCUUCCCGGGACCUCAAGGACUCCGGUCCUCGAAUCAUCCCGGGGAGACUCCACAACCGUAGCCCCCUCGGCGAAACAUCGAUCGAGGGAGGGAUCGCUCGUCGAUCCUUCCGAGAAACGAGAAUAACCUAGUCGACUACUUUCGACGACGGAUACCUCGGUUCCCACGCCGAUGAAGAGCGCGGCGAAACGCGAUAUGUCGUGCGAAUCGCAGAAUUCGGCGAAUCACGCAAUCCUCGAACGCAUCCGGCGCUCUCGGGUCUUCCCGGGAGCAUGCCCGUCUGAGCGUCGUUCCCAAAAAUCCCAACCCGACACGAUUAAAACCGUGGAAGGACGGGUGAUCGGGAGUCUGCGGAAACGCAGUCUCCUGGGAACGAGGCGCACCACUGGAAGCCCCAUCCGACGAUGAGGGAUCAGGUGCAAAGCUUCCGUCGAGAGCGCCUCCGGGUGCAACUCACAUCGGGAGUCGCAGCCCUGAACCAUUCAACUCGCGUCGACCUUGGGACCAGCUUCCGGCUGGACAGACGCCGUCCGUGGUCCGUGAGACCAGGGUCGGAGGAGUCAAAUCCUCCCCUCUCUAACCACGACCUCAGAUCGGGCAAGAUUACCCGGCUGAACUUAAGCAUAUUAAUAAGCGGAGGAAAAGAAACCAACAGGGAUUCCCCCAGUAGCGGCGAGCGAAGCGGGAACAGCUCAAGCUUUAAAUCGAGGGUCCACAGGGCCUUUCGAAUUGUAGCCUUUCGAGCGCCGGUUGCCGGGUCGAUCGUGUGAGUACGGAGUCCCCUGGAACGGGGCGUCUUAGAGGGUGAGAACCCCAUGACGGACUCAUCGGUCGGUUCGACUGCAUCCGGUGUUCGGCGAGUCGGGUAGUUUGAGAUU